This 338-nucleotide ribosomal RNA is filed under the name uncultured Glomeromycotina. RNAcentral describes it as "SSU rRNA". It matches the Rfam family "Eukaryotic small subunit ribosomal RNA", at positions 569 to 906 of the family's 1831-position model. Lineage: Eukaryota; Fungi; Glomeromycota. The record is from RNAcentral.
AGCAGCCGCGGUAAUUCCAGCUCCAAUAGCGUAUAUUAAAGUCGUUGCAGUUAAAAGCUCGUAGUUGAAUUUCGGGAUUGGCGUAUCGGUCGUGCCUCACGGGGUAUGAACUGGUGCAGUCAAUUUCUCACCUUCUGGAGAACCGCGAUGUCCUUAAUUGGAUGCCGUGGGGAACCAGGACCUUUACUUUGAAAAAUUGAGUGUUUAAAGCAGGCUAUUUUUGCUUGAAUACACUAGCAUGGAAUAAUAGAAUAGGACGACAUGGUUCUAUUUUGUUGGUUUCUAGGACCACCGUAAUGAUUAAUAGGGAUAGUUGGGGGCAUUAGUAUUCAAUUGUC